RNAcentral lists this unclassified non-coding RNA (611 nucleotides) under Homo sapiens (human). RNAcentral describes it as "decapping exoribonuclease (ENSG00000206346.8, ENSG00000224313.6, ENSG00000225682.6, ENSG00000234798.6)". The record is from RNAcentral. Lineage: Eukaryota; Metazoa; Chordata; Mammalia; Primates; Hominidae.
CCACGCCUGCUGCUGCUUCUCUCCUUGUGCAGACAAACCUGGAAGCUCCCCAGACCCCUCUGGGGAGGUUAACACCAACGUGGCCUUCUGCUCUGUGCUACGCAGCCGCCUGGGAAGCCACCCUCUGCUCUUCUCAGGGGAGGUAGACUGCACAGACCCCCAAGCCCCAUCCACACAGCCCCCAACCUGCUAUGUGGAGCUCAAGACCUCCAAGGAGAUGCACAGCCCUGGCCAAUGGAGGAGUUUCUACAGGUUCAGGAUCGGGACCUUUCCUACCAUGAAGAUGUUUGAAUAUGUCAGGAAUGACCGUGACGGCUGGAAUCCCUCUGUGUGCAUGAACUUCUGUGCCGCCUUCCUUAGCUUUGCCCAGAGCACGGUUGUCCAGGAUGACCCCAGGCUCGUUCAUCUCUUCUCUUGGGAGCCUGGCGGCCCAGUCACCGUGUCUGUACACCAAGAUGCACCUUACGCCUUCCUGCCCAUAUGGUAUGUGGAAGCUAUGACUCAGGACCUCCCAUCACCCCCCAAGACUCCCUCUCCCAAAUAGUAAUGCUUUAGAGGGAGGCAGUCAUAUCUCUGUGUGCAGAUAAUAAAAGCAUAUUUCUAAGAGGUUC